RNAcentral lists this ribosomal RNA (798 nucleotides) under Yuccaborus frontalis. RNAcentral's name for it is "partial 28S ribosomal RNA". The stretch from base 441 to 798 matches the Rfam family "Eukaryotic large subunit ribosomal RNA", at positions 675 to 920 of the family's 3401-position model. The record is from RNAcentral. Lineage: Eukaryota; Metazoa; Arthropoda; Insecta; Coleoptera; Curculionidae.
AAACCCGAAAGGUCGAAGGGAGAAAUUCAUUCGCCGUUUCGUCGUAGACGUUAGACGAGAUUGAGCGACGGGAAGAGAGAAAGUUUCGCGAGAGAUUUUUCUGUUUUUUCCGCACCGCUCGUUUUUCGAUUCGACGACGAACGCGUGCACUUUUCUCUUGGUAGGACGUCGCGAUCCGUUGAGCGUCGAUUUACGGCUAACGUAGGUARACCGUACGUAAUAAUUUUAAAAGGUUAUUCACGUACGGACGCGUUUGUUUCCUAAUCGACUCGCUCGACGGUAUACGAGAUGGUUUAAGGCCGCGACUAUCAUGUGUUCGCGUCCGACUCUUAACAAGCGCGCCAGAUGUUUGUCGGUAAUCUCGGACCUAGUGCCGAUUCUGACCUCUGGUGACUGUUGGUUGAGAAGGAAAUUUUAUAUUUCUCGGACAGACCUUUAACCGAUCGGCGACGCUAUAGAUUUGGGUACUUUCAGGACCCGUCUUGAAANNNNNNNNNNNNNNNNNNNNNNNNNNNNNNNNNNUUGGGAAUAUAAUUAAACCUAAAAGGCGUAAUGAAAGUGAAAGUUCGUUUUACACACGAACCUAGGGAAGAUGAUCGAUUUUUUUUUUUUUAAAUAGAAAACGAUCCGCAUUCCCGGGGCGUCUCGUUCUCAUUGCGAGAAGAGGCGCACCAAGAGCGUACACGCUGGGACCCGAAAGAUGGUGAACUAUGCCUGGUCAGGACGAAGUCAGGGGAAACCCUGAUGGAGGUCCGUAGCGAUUCUGACGUGCAAAUCGAUCGUCGGAACUGGGUAUAG